UGGGGAAUAUUGCACAAUGGAGGGAACUCUGAUGCAGCAACGCCGCGUGCGGGAUGACGGCCUUCGGGUUGUAAACCGCUUUCAGCCAUGACGAAGCUUUUGUGACGGUAGUGGUAGAAGAAGCACCGGCUAACUACGUGCCAGCAGCCGCGGUGAUACGUAGGGUGCGAGCGUUGUCCGGAAUUAUUGGGCGUAAAGAGCUUGUAGGCGGUUUGUCGCGUCGAUAGUGUAAACACGCAGCUUAACUGUGUGCCUGCUGUCGAUACGGGCUGACUAGCGGAGGGUAGGGGAGCAUGGAAUUCCCGGUGGAGCGGUCGAAUGCGCCGAUAUCGGGAGGAACACCAGUGGCGAAGGCGGUUCUCUGGACCUUUCCUGACGCUGAGAAGCGAAAGCGUGGGUAGCAAACAGG
This 409-nucleotide ribosomal RNA is filed under the name Fusobacteriota bacterium. Its description in RNAcentral is "Fusobacteria bacterium partial 16S ribosomal RNA". It matches the Rfam family "Bacterial small subunit ribosomal RNA", at positions 355 to 776 of the family's 1533-position model. Lineage: Bacteria; Fusobacteriati; Fusobacteriota. The record is from RNAcentral.